Molecule: ribosomal RNA, 467 nt
Filed under: uncultured bacterium
Lineage: Bacteria
Description: partial 16S ribosomal RNA
Rfam family: Bacterial small subunit ribosomal RNA
Source: RNAcentral
GACGAACGCUGGCGGCGUGCUUAACACAUGCAAGUCGAACGGAAAGGCCCUGCUUUUGUGGGGUGCUCGAGUGGCGAACGGGUGAGUAACACGUGAGUAACCUGCCCUUGACUUUGGGAUAACUUCAGGAAACUGGGGCUAAUACCGGAUAGGAGCUCCUGCUGCAUGGUGGGGGUUGGAAAGUUUCGGCGGUUGGGGAUGGACUCGCGGCUUAUCAGCUUGUUGGUGGGGUAGUGGCUUACCAAGGCUUUGACGGGUAGCCGGCCUGAGAGGGUGACCGGCCACAUUGGGACUGAGAUACGGCCCAGACUCCUACGGGAGGCAGCAGUGGGGAAUAUUGCACAAUGGGCGGAAGCCUGAUUCAGCAACGCCGCGUGCGGGAUGACGGCCUUCGGGUUGUAAACCGCUUUCGCCUGUGACGAAGCGUGAGUGACGGUAAUGGGUAAAGAAGCACCGGCUAACUACGU